AUUAGAAUUUAAAAACCCCGUAUUUUUUAUCCCAAAUAUUAUUAUUAUUAUGUUUUUUUUGGAAGUUUUAUAAUAAUUUUAUUUUUUUGGUACAAAAGGACAACUAAAUUAGUUCCAACAUGUUAUACUUUAAAAGCAAAAUACAUUUUGUAGCUCCGAAAGCAUUCAUCUUUGGUUAACGUGAUAUAACUCAUAAUUUGAUUUUUUUAACGGAUUUAUCUCCUUCCGCCAAAAUAUAUCAUUCUAGGCCUCGACUUGGAGGGAAUAGAAUUUUGACAGGUGAAUUGGAUUAUUAAUGAGUUUAUUAAAAAAUAUCAGAUUUAUGAAACAGCUACUCUUACUAUUGGCGUUCGGUUCUACCCAAUUGGUUGUUACCAGUGUUCACGGAUAAUUAAAUAGUUAAGUAUGAUGAGUGUUGUUUGAAGAGUU
Non-coding RNA from Schizosaccharomyces pombe (fission yeast), 429 nucleotides. The record is from the annotation of a GenBank genome assembly. Lineage: Eukaryota; Fungi; Ascomycota; Schizosaccharomycetes; Schizosaccharomycetales; Schizosaccharomycetaceae.